This 369-nucleotide ribosomal RNA is filed under the name uncultured alga. RNAcentral's name for it is "partial 23S ribosomal RNA". It matches the Rfam family "Bacterial large subunit ribosomal RNA", at positions 2098 to 2465 of the family's 2925-position model. The record is from RNAcentral.
GCUUGACUGUAGCUUGUAAUUGGGUUCGGGCUUUUUUUGCGCAGCCUAGGUGGGAGGCAACGAUGAUUUUUUUCCGGAAAAAUUUAAGCCGUUAGUGAGAGACCACUCUGAAAAGGCUAGAAUCCUAAUAAUGAUCCUUGAAUCAGGACAUUUGACAGUUGCAGGUGGGCAGUUUUACUGGGGCGGUAUUCUCCUAAAAAGUAACGGAGGGGUGCAAAGGUUCCCUCAAGCUGGACGGAAAUCAGCUUAAGAGUGUAAGGUCAGAAGGGAGCUUGACUGCAAGACCUACAAGUCGAGCAGGGGCGAAAGCCGGCCUUAGUGAUCCGACGGUACCACGUGGAAGGGCCGUCGCUCAACGGAUAAAAGUUA